ACACACACACACACACACACACACACACACACACACUCUUUUGGUAAGGGAAAAUGAAUUGUUCUGGGGAGGUACCUGAUCAGACAGACAAAGCGGAUAAGGAAGUGACAUAGGCAUUGACGUACAGGUAACUGACAAAAUAAAGGAAACACCAACAUAGUGUCUUAAUAGGGCGUUGGGCCACUACAAGCCACCACAAAAACUUCAAUGCGCCUUGGCAGAGAUUCUACAAAGGUCUGGAACUCUAUUGAUGGGAUGCGACACCUGUGGAGACAAAUCCGAUUCAAAAGUCAAACGGGCGCAACAUAGCUUGCGCAAGCAAGAUCAAACAUCAUUGCACAAGCAAACACUUGAGCUGAGAGAGAAGAAAUGUGGUCGAGCGAGCAGAGGACGGGUCCCAUGAGCGCAGGCAAGCAUGAUGGCUAUGGCUUGCUGAUAGCAUCUGAUCUGAUGAGACUCCCUGGGGUCUAUUUUAAAACCUCUACGGGAUCGGUGUCCCCCCCCACCGGACAGUUGAGCUAACGUGUGCUAAUGCCGGUGGUAGCUGGUCCACUACAGGACGCUGAGGUGCGGGAGGUCCCUCCGCCCCCCCCUGGACAUCGGGGGGGCCCCGGUGUACACAGUCCGGGCCAUCCUGGACUCCCGACGUCGGGUAGGGGGCCUGCAGUACCUCGUGGACUGGGAGGGGUACGGCCCGGAGGAGAGGUGCUGGGUUCCGGUUCGGGACAUUUGUGAUCCAGCUAUGCUACAGGAGUUUCAUCGUCUCCGGCCGGCCGGAGCGGCCGGCGCCUCGCCCUCCGGGUCGUCCCCGAGGCCGACGUUGGCGCCCUGCGGGAGCCGCGCGUCAGGGGAGGGGUACUGUCACAGUAUCCACCGAGGAUGGCGCCCCUCCUCGGUCGGCCGGCGCUCGGCGGUCGUCGUCGCCGGUCUACUAGCUACCACCGAUCUAUGUUUCCGUGUUCUUUGGUUUUUGUCUGCUCUAGCCCGCACCUGUCUCUUGUCUGUCAUUAGUGGGGAGGUAUUUAGUUUUUUUCUUUGGGUUCGUCUUUGUGCGGGAUUGUUUGUUUGUCAGCGGGCAGGUCUGUGUACGUUCUGUGCUUUUUGCACAUUUUUCCCCAGCGGAUUCUCGCUGGAUGAAUAUUGCAUUUGCCGGGCUGCGCCCCGUGAGUAUUUUUGUUUACUGUGUUCCCGUGUGGUCUCUGGACGCACCCUAUGCCCUUUUGUUACGCC
RNAcentral lists this long non-coding RNA (1230 nucleotides) under Salmo salar (Atlantic salmon). RNAcentral's name for it is "lncRNA (ENSSSAG00000106704.1)". The record is from RNAcentral. Lineage: Eukaryota; Metazoa; Chordata; Actinopteri; Salmoniformes; Salmonidae.